GUGAGGAAUAUUGCGCAAUGGAGGCAACUCUGACGCAGCCAUGCCGCGUGCAGGAAGAAGGCGCUACGCGUUGUAAACUGCUUUUAACCGGGAAGAAACCCCAGGACGUGUCCUGGGUUGACGGUACCGGAGGAAUAAGCACCGGCUAACUUCGUGCCAGCAGCCGCGGUAAUACGAAGGGUGCAAGCGUUAUCCGGAUUCAUUGGGUUUAAAGGGUGCGUAGGCGGAGCGUUAAGUCAGUGGUGAAAUCCUGCAGCUUAACUGUAGACUUGCCAUUGAUACUGGCGCUCUUGAGUGAGCUUGAAGUGGGCGGAAUGUGCCGUGUAGCGGUGAAAUGCUUAGAUAUGGCACAGAACACCAAUUGCGAAGGCAGCUCACUAAGGCGAUACUGACGCUGAGGCACGAAAGCGUGGGGAUCGAACAGGAUUAGAAACCCUGGUAGUCC
RNAcentral lists this ribosomal RNA (445 nucleotides) under uncultured bacterium. RNAcentral's name for it is "bacterial SSU rRNA". It matches the Rfam family "Bacterial small subunit ribosomal RNA", at positions 354 to 796 of the family's 1533-position model. The record is from RNAcentral.